RNAcentral lists this long non-coding RNA (1484 nucleotides) under Pan troglodytes (chimpanzee). RNAcentral's name for it is "long non-coding RNA NONPTRT001863". The record is from RNAcentral. Lineage: Eukaryota; Metazoa; Chordata; Mammalia; Primates; Hominidae.
CGGCCUCGGGGCUCUGCUCUCCUACCUCAGUCUGCCCUACCCUGGAAUGGGGAAAAUGCGGACAUGCCACUCAGUCCGGCCGCGAACGGUGCUCCAGAACUCAGAGAGUUUUCCAGACGGGUGGAGAUCGCGUUCCCUGCCCGCCGAGGUCCCAUCGCUUCCCUGCUGGGAAGACAAAUGAGGCGCUUUAGCCGUCUCCACGGCCAGCCCCUCCCUCAUAACCCGAGAUUCUUUGUGGGCUCUUAGUCCAUAGCUGCCUUUGAGGUGGUGUAGACCUUGCUAACCAGGACGGCCCAGUAGGCAGAGCUCAUUUUUAUUCCUGUCUGCAAUCGUGCAAAAACGCCUCUUAUGGAAAAGGCAGAGCGCCAGGAGUCAGCAAAACACACUAAAGAUUGGGCAGUCACUGGGGAGAACUGCAAUUAACCUUUAAGAUACUACGUGUCAGGCCUCUGAGCCCAAACUAAGCCAUCAUAUCCCCUGUGACCUGCAUGUAUACAUACAGACGGCCUGAAGCAACUGAAGAUCCACAAAAGAAGUGAAAAUAGCCUUAACUGAUGACAUUCCACCAUUGAGAUUUGUUCCUGCCCCACCCUAACUGAUACGAUAUAUUCUCCCCCGCCCUUAAGAAGGUACUUUGUAAUAUUCUCCCUGCCCUUGAGAAUGUACUUUGUACGCCUAUCCCAAACCUAUAAGAACUAAUGAUAAUCCCACCACCCUUUGUUGACUCCUUUUUCAGACUCAGCCCGCCUGCACCCAGGUGAAAUAUACAGCCUUGUUGCUCACACAAAGCCUGUUUGGUGGUUUCUUCACAUGGAUGCAUGUGACAUUUGGUGCUGAAGACCCAGGACAGGAGGACUCCUUUGGGAGACCAGUCCCCUGUUAUCGCCCUCACUCCGUGAGGAGAUCCACCUAUGAUCUCAGGUCCUCAGACCAACCAGCCCAAGGAACAUCUCACCAAUUUCAAAUCGGGUAAGUGGUCUUUUCACUCUUCUCCAGCCUCUCUCGCUACCCUUCAAUCUUCCUCUCUCACUACCCUUCAAUCUCCCUGUCCUUCCAAUUCCCGUUCUUUUUCCUCUCUAGUAGAGAUAAGGAGACAUAUUUUAUCUGUGGACCCAAAACUCCAGCGUCAGUCACGGACUCGGGAAGACAGUCUUCCCUUGGUGUUUAAUCACUGUGGGGACGCCUGCCUGAUUAUUCACCCACACUCCACUGCUGUCUGAUCACCGAGGGGAUGCCUGCCUUGGUCAUUCACCCACAUUCCCUUGGUGACAAGUCAAUUGUGGGGACACCUGCUUUGGCUGCUCACCCACAUUGCAGCCCAGGGCUGCUCAAUGCCCCCCACUGCCCCACCCGCCUUCUCCGUGUCUCUACCCUCUCUUUUCUCGGGUUUACCUCCUUCACUAUGGGCAACCUUCCACCCUCCAUUCCUCCUUCUUCUCCCUUAGCCUGUGUUCUCAAAAACUUAAAACCUCUUCAACUCACAC